GCGUAUCAGCCUUUUGGGUGUGAUUAUGUGGAGCGUGAGGAGUUAAACACCCUCAUCUUUGCAUAUUCGUGCACUUUGGGUGUACUUGCUCGUGUGGUAGGUUAACAUCAAUUUUGAUCGUCAUAAAAUGGCUAGAGGAAUGUAGCUUCGAUCUCGUAUUGAAGUGUUAUAGCCUUUGGUAGAUGUGAUGAUUAGGAUUGAGGAUUGCAACGGAUACCCUUCGGGGCUACCUGCCUGAUCUCUGAAAGUUGCUCUGGUGCUGAAAGCUUGCUUAUGGUAUCAAAGUUGACGUUCAAUAGGUUAGAACGGGAUAAAUUCGUUAAGGAUGUUGACGUAA
RNAcentral lists this ribosomal RNA (337 nucleotides) under uncultured Glomus. RNAcentral describes it as "eukaryotic LSU rRNA". The record is from RNAcentral. Lineage: Eukaryota; Fungi; Glomeromycota; Glomeromycetes; Glomerales; Glomeraceae.